This 403-nucleotide ribosomal RNA is filed under the name uncultured bacterium. Its description in RNAcentral is "bacterial SSU rRNA". It matches the Rfam family "Bacterial small subunit ribosomal RNA", at positions 355 to 775 of the family's 1533-position model. The record is from RNAcentral.
CGGGGAAUCUUGCGCAAUGGGCGAGAGCCUGACGCAGCCAUGCCGCGUGAAUGAUGAAGGUCUUAGGGUUGUAAAAUUCUUUUACCAGGGACGAUAAUGACGGUACCUGGAGAAAAAGCCCCGGCUAACUUCGUGCCAGCAGCCGCGGUAAUACGAAGGGGGCUAGCGUUGCUCGGAAUUACUGGGCGUAAAGGGAGCGUAGGCGGGUUGACAAGUUGGAGGUGAAAGCCCAGGGCUCAACCCUGGAAUUGCCUUCAAAACUGUCAGCCUUGAGUAUGGAAGAGGUAAGUGGAACUCCGAGUGUAGAGGUGAAAUUCGUAGAUAUUCGGAAGAACACCAGUGGCGAAGGCGACUUACUGGUCCAUGACUGACGCUGAGGCUCGAAAGCGUGGGGAGCAAACAG